UGGGGAAUUUUGGACAAUGGGCGAAAGCCUGAUCCAGCAAUGCCGCGUGUGUGAAGAAGGCCUUCGGGUUGUAAAGCACUUUUGUCCGGAAAGAAAUCCUUGGCUCUAAUACAGGUCGGGGAUGACGGUAACCGGGAAGAAUCGAAGCACCGGCUAACUACGUGCCAGCAGGCCGCGGUAAUACGGUAAGGGUGCAAUGCGUUGAAUUCGGAAUUACUGGGGCGUAAAGCGUGCGCAGGCGGUUUGCUAAGACCGAUGUGAAAUCCCCGGGCUCAACCUGGGAACUGCAUUGGUGACUGGCAGGCUAGAGUAUGGCAGAGGGGGGUAGAAUUCCACGUGUAGCAGUGAAAUGCGUAGAGAUGUGGAGGAAUACCGAUGGCGAAGGCAGCCCCCUGGGCCAAUACUGACGCUCAUGCACGAAAGCGUGGGGAGCAAACAGGAUUAGAUACCCUGGUAGUCCACGCCCUAAAACGAUGUCAACUAGUUGUUGGGGAUUCAUUUUCCUUAGUAACGUAGCUAACGCGUGAAGUUGACCGCCUGGGGAGUACGGUCGCAAGAUUAAAACUUAAAUGAAUUGACGGGGUCAUAGCUGUUUCCU
RNAcentral lists this ribosomal RNA (598 nucleotides) under uncultured bacterium. RNAcentral describes it as "partial 16S ribosomal RNA". It matches the Rfam family "Bacterial small subunit ribosomal RNA", at positions 355 to 1375 of the family's 1533-position model. The record is from RNAcentral.